RNAcentral lists this transfer RNA (72 nucleotides) under Camelus bactrianus (Bactrian camel). It matches the Rfam family "tRNA". Rfam says of the family: Transfer RNA (tRNA) molecules are approximately 80 nucleotides in length. Their secondary structure includes four short double-helical elements and three loops (D, anti-codon, and T loops). Further hydrogen bonds mediate the characteristic L-shaped molecular structure. tRNAs have two regions of fundamental functional importance: the anti-codon, which is responsible for specific mRNA codon recognition, and the 3' end, to which the tRNAs corresponding amino acid is attached (by aminoacyl-tRNA synthetases). tRNAs cope with the degeneracy of the genetic code in two manners: having more than one tRNA (with a specific anti-codon) for a particular amino acid; and 'wobble' base-pairing, i.e. permitting non-standard base-pairing at the 3rd anti-codon position. RNAcentral also lists the same sequence under 1 other name. Lineage: Eukaryota; Metazoa; Chordata; Mammalia; Artiodactyla; Camelidae. The record is from Rfam by way of RNAcentral.
GAGGGUAUAUCUCAGUGGUAGAGCGUGUGCUUAGCAUGCACGAGGUCCUGGGUUCAAUCCCUAGCACCUCCA